This is a long non-coding RNA of Podarcis raffonei (Aeolian wall lizard), 1679 nucleotides long. RefSeq lists it as uncharacterized. The record is from RefSeq and is a predicted model, not a curated record. The transcript is spliced from 2 exons. NCBI's taxonomy places the organism in Eukaryota, Metazoa, Chordata, Lepidosauria, Squamata, Lacertidae.
GCUGCAGUUCUAGGCAUACUUACAGGGCCGUAAGGUCCAAAUAAUAUACUGAGACUUAUUUCUGAGAAUUGCAAGGCAGGUGACAAGCGUCUCACGCAGGCCUGAGUUAUUCUGGUACCUCUCUGGAUAUUAGAUACUGCUCUUCUUCCCUUCAUAGCAUGCUUGGGCCUGUUUAAGAACAUAGAAAGAGUCCUGCUGGACAAAGGUGCCAACUCUAUAGAGCUGAGGUGUUUUCAGCCCCGCCCCCCCCCAAUCUUGAGGUGCUGGGCCUUGUGGCGGUUGGCCUCUCCGGGCCUUGUGGCACCAGGCCUCGUAGUGGUGGUGCCAGGCCUCACAGCGGUGGCCUCCUAUUAUCGGCCUCCUCCCAACACACAUUGUGCACAGUGCCCCCCAAUGUUGGAUGCAACUCAGCGCCUCUGCUGCUGGAUUAAUUCCACUAGUCCAACUUCCUUCCUACCCACACACCUCAGUAUUGUAGAAAGCAGCUUUAUGACAAGUGAGACCAAUUGUCUGCACACUGACUGGCAGCAGCCAAGGUUUUCAUAUUUACAGCAUUUCAAUUGGUAUCACAUCCCCCGCUUCCCAACCCAUUUGGACCCCGCCCGCCGCCCGCCCCGGAAAUAUGGUGCCUCUAGGUGAGACUGGUUGCUUCCCCAACUCUCCCUGGCCGAGAGUUGGUGAGAAAAGUCGGAGUUGUGCUUGAAGAGGGAGAUUUGCUAUUUCUUUUUUCCUUUGGGUGGAAAAAAAGUGCAGUCUGGGUUAGUGUUUUUGUUGCUGUUUUUUUUGUUUGUUCUGUUUGUCAUUUUUCUGAAGGACAAUCCAUCCAGUCUGGGGGGCGGGGGAGAGUUCAACACUCCUACUUUCUCCCAUGUAGUCCCAAAUGUGUUCUGACGGCAGCCAUAUUUGCAUUGCAGGAUACUCCUGACGUUUGCGUCUUCGUGGGCAGGAAUGAAACAGAAGGAAGGUGAGAUCAGUCUUGCAUCACUUUCUAAAUGUCUGGAGCUGGAACUUAGCAGGCCGUGGGGGCGACUGGUGGAACUGAGUGAAACGGGAAGAAAUGCCCCCUCUGCUACCACCACCCCACCCCUCAUCAUCUCUUACUUAUUGUGCAAUUUUACGUCAGGCUCGGUGGCCCUAAAGCAACUAGGAGGGGGAAAGGCCACCAUGUGUGGCCAUACAAAUGAAAAAAAAAAUCUAAGGACAGCCACACCUCAGUGCUACUUCCUCCUUCCCCAGAAGCAAUGGUGCAUUUCAAACAUUCCUAUGUGGGCUUUAAUUUAAAAAAAUAAAAAAAGAGAGAGAGAGGAAAGAAUCAAAGCAAAGCUUUCCUGCCAAUCUGAAAGAGCUGAAGAACUUGAUGCAAACCCUGUUGAUAAACUGUGACAGCCAACAAAUACUGGAAGGCAGGUUCUCAGCAUAGCGUUACCUGAACAGCUCCUUCCUCUCCCCCCACCCUCAUACGUUUCUCUGUCUUUUGUCUCUCUUUUUUGGCAACGGUUGAAUCUCAACCCCGACUAGGCCGAGUGCCACAUGGCCCUGUUUGUCCCUCAUACUCUUAAGCUAUGGGAGGCGAGGGGUGGGGAGCAGGCUCUGAGCCAGGGUGCAGGGCAGGGCAUUUCCCCAGGUGCCCCAGUCUCUGCAUGUGGAACCCUCAUGGCUUUGAAUAAUAAAAAAUAUUA